Molecule: ribosomal RNA, 490 nt
Filed under: uncultured bacterium
Lineage: Bacteria
Description: partial 16S ribosomal RNA
Rfam family: Bacterial small subunit ribosomal RNA
Source: RNAcentral
AUUGAACGCUGGCGGCAGGCCUAACACAUGCAAGUCGAACGGUAACAGAAAGCAGCUUGCUGCUUUGCUGACGAGUGGCGGACGGGUGAGUAAUGUCUGGGAAACUGCCUGAUGGAGGGGGAUAACUACUGGAAACGGUAGCUAAUACCGCAUAACGUCGCAAGACCAAAGAGGGGGACCUUCGGGCCUCUUGCCAUCGGAUGUGCCCAGAUGGGAUUAGCUAGUAGGUGGGGUAACGGCUCACCUAGGCGACGAUCCCUAGCUGGUCUGAGAGGAUGACCAGCCACACUGGAACUGAGACACGGUCCAGACUCCUACGGGAGGCAGCAGUGGGGAAUAUUGCACAAUGGGCGCAAGCCUGAUGCAGCCAUGCCGCGUGUAUGAAGAAGGCCUUCGGGUUGUAAAGUACUUUCAGCGGGGAGGAAGGGAGUAAAGUUAAUACCUUUGCUCAUUGACGUUACCCGCAGAAGAAGCACCGCCUAACUCCGUA